This 498-nucleotide ribosomal RNA is filed under the name uncultured bacterium. Its description in RNAcentral is "partial 16S ribosomal RNA". It matches the Rfam family "Bacterial small subunit ribosomal RNA", at positions 28 to 506 of the family's 1533-position model. The record is from RNAcentral.
GACGAACGCUGGCGGCGUGCCUAAUACAUGCAAGUCGAGCGAAGGUUUUCUGGUUCUUGCACUAGAAAAACUUAGCGGCGAACGGGUGAGUAAGACGUAAAGAACCUGCCGCAUAGACUGGGACAACUAUUGGAAACGAUAGCUCAUACCGGAUAACAGUAUUUCUCGCAUGAGAGAUAUUUAAAAGUUGGUUAUUCUAACACUAUGAGAUGGCUUUGCGGUUCAUUGGCUAGUUGGUGGGGUAAAGGCCCACCAAGUGGACGAUGCAUAGCCGACCUGAGAGGGUGACCGGCAAACCUGGGACUGAGCCACGGCCCAGACUCCUACGGGAGGCAGCAGUAGGGAAUCUUCCGCAAUGGGCGAAAGCCUGACGGAGCAACGCCGCGUGAGUGAAGAAGGAUUUCGGUUCGUAAAGCUCUGUUGUUAGGGAAGAAUGGAUAUGUAGUAACUAUACAUGUAAGAGACGGUACCUAACAAGAAAGCCACGGCUAACUACGU